AUUGAACGCUGGCGGCAGGCUUAACACAUGCAAGUCGAGCGCAUCCUUCGGGGUGAGCGGCAGACGGGUGAGUAACGCGUGGGAACGUGCCCUUUGCUACGGAAUAGCUCCGGGAAACUGGAAUUAAUACCGUAUGAGCCCUUUGGGGGAAAGAUUUAUCGGCAAAGGAUCGGCCCGCGUUGGAUUAGCUAGUUGGUGGGGUAAAGGCCUACCAAGGCGACGAUCCAUAGCUGGUCUGUGAGGAUGAUCAGCCACAUUGGGACUGAGACACGGCCCAAACUCCUACGGGAGGCAGCAGUGGGGAAUAUUGGACAAUGGGCGCAAGCCUGAUCCAGCCAUGCCGCGUGAGUGAUGAAGGCCUUAGGGUUGUAAAGCUCUUUCACCGGAGAAGAUAAUGACGGUAUCCGGAGAAGAAGCCCCGGCUAACUUCGUGCCAGCAGCCGCCGUAA
This 449-nucleotide ribosomal RNA is filed under the name uncultured bacterium. RNAcentral's name for it is "partial 16S ribosomal RNA". It matches the Rfam family "Bacterial small subunit ribosomal RNA", at positions 30 to 523 of the family's 1533-position model. The record is from RNAcentral.